GGGGCUGUCUUUGGUUUCGACGAAAAUAUUUGGGCUUAAUUAGCAAGACGAGUAUCUCUUACGUUACAAGAGUGAAAUUAAAUAUAACUGGAAACAGCUAUACAAACGCUGUUGCUUAUGCCUAACCUAUAGGUAGCGACAGGUUCUACUAAUUCUUUGUCUGUGAGAAUUAGAUAGGACUUAUAAAGCAGACUAUAUUAUGAUUUUUGUUUAGACUUCAUAACGAAUAAACAUAAACUAGUAAGCAAUUAUGAUUGUAAGUUAUCUACUUGCUUAUGAAUUUUAAUAACUUACUAAUCUUGUAGAAGGUUAAGCUACUGUAUUUGCGGACAGGGGUUCGAUUCCCCUCAGCUCCACCA
Molecule: non-coding RNA, 359 nt
Organism: Clostridium sp. CAG:302
Lineage: Bacteria; Bacillati; Bacillota; Clostridia; Eubacteriales; Clostridiaceae
Rfam family: transfer-messenger RNA
About the family: Bacterial tmRNA, also known as 10Sa RNA or SsrA, is named for its dual tRNA and mRNA-like properties. Its role is to liberate the mRNA from a stalled ribosome.
Source: Rfam